Molecule: transfer RNA, 72 nt
Filed under: Bos taurus (domestic cattle)
Lineage: Eukaryota; Metazoa; Chordata; Mammalia; Artiodactyla; Bovidae
Also listed under: 3 other names
Rfam family: tRNA
About the family: Transfer RNA (tRNA) molecules are approximately 80 nucleotides in length. Their secondary structure includes four short double-helical elements and three loops (D, anti-codon, and T loops).
Source: Rfam by way of RNAcentral
UCCCCAAUGGCUCAGCAUGUAAAGAAUCUGCCUGCAAGGCAGAAGACCUGGGUUCAAUCCCUGGGUUGGGAA